Molecule: long non-coding RNA, 268 nt
Organism: Chiloscyllium plagiosum (whitespotted bambooshark)
Lineage: Eukaryota; Metazoa; Chordata; Chondrichthyes; Orectolobiformes; Hemiscylliidae
Source: RefSeq, a predicted model, not a curated record
AAAAAUAGAGAGGUAUAAGAGGAAUUUUCUAUCUUACGGGAUUCCGCCACACGAACACAGGCUCUGAGUGGAGGUUUGCAGCUGUUGCACAGACAGCCUGGACCACAACGUUACUAUUUGUGUGAUAAAGUCUCGAUGGAAUGCAACAAACAUUUGGACUUCAUGCCUCGCCUCGGUACUUCAUUAAAAAGCAAAGGGAUUCGGAUUCCAAUAUUAAUUCAAAACCGGUGGCAGGAAACUUCAAGCUGCAAGCUGAAAAUGCAUGGCU